This 252-nucleotide ribosomal RNA is filed under the name uncultured bacterium. RNAcentral describes it as "partial 16S ribosomal RNA". It matches the Rfam family "Bacterial small subunit ribosomal RNA", at positions 524 to 776 of the family's 1533-position model. The record is from RNAcentral.
UACGGAGGAUGCGAGCGUUAUCCGGAUUUAUUGGGUUUAAAGGGUGCGUAGGCGGAUCGUUAAGUCAGUGGUCAAAUUGAGGGGCUCAACCCCUUCCCGCCAUUGAAACUGGCGAUCUUGAGUGGAAGAGAAGUAAGCGGAAUGCGUGGUGUAGCGGUGAAAUGCAUAGAUAUCACGCAGAACCCCGAUUGCGAAGGCAGCAUGCCGGCUUCCGACUGACGCUGAAGCACGAAAGCGUGGGGAUCGAACAGG